GCGGAUAUGGCGUAAUUGGUAGCCGCGCCAGACUUAGGAUCUGGUGCCUCACGGCGUCGGGGUUCGAGUCCCUUUAUCCGCA
Molecule: transfer RNA, 82 nt
Filed under: Candidatus Alistipes pullistercoris
Lineage: Bacteria; Pseudomonadati; Bacteroidota; Bacteroidia; Bacteroidales; Rikenellaceae
Description: tRNA-Leu
Rfam family: tRNA
About the family: Transfer RNA (tRNA) molecules are approximately 80 nucleotides in length. Their secondary structure includes four short double-helical elements and three loops (D, anti-codon, and T loops). Further hydrogen bonds mediate the characteristic L-shaped molecular structure. tRNAs have two regions of fundamental functional importance: the anti-codon, which is responsible for specific mRNA codon recognition, and the 3' end, to which the tRNAs corresponding amino acid is attached (by aminoacyl-tRNA synthetases). tRNAs cope with the degeneracy of the genetic code in two manners: having more than one tRNA (with a specific anti-codon) for a particular amino acid; and 'wobble' base-pairing, i.e. permitting non-standard base-pairing at the 3rd anti-codon position.
Source: RNAcentral